Molecule: microRNA precursor, 172 nt
Filed under: Medicago truncatula (barrel medic)
Lineage: Eukaryota; Viridiplantae; Streptophyta; Magnoliopsida; Fabales; Fabaceae
Description: MIR2619 microRNA precursor family
Rfam family: MIR2619 microRNA precursor family
Source: Rfam by way of RNAcentral
AAAUUGCCCUCUAAGUUUUGCAACUGUAGCAGUUUUGGCCUCCAAAGCCAAUUUUUGGUAAAAAAAAUAAAAAAUGUGGCACCUCACUUACGGUGCCACGUCAGCGUAGACUGGGUUAAAAUUGGUCUUGGAGGCCAAAACUGCUACAGUUGUAAAACUUAAGGGACAAUUU